AUUGAACGCUGGCGGCAUGCCUUACACAUGCAAGUCGAACGGCAGCGCGGGGCAACCUGGCGGCGAGCGGCGAACGGGUGAGUAACACAUCGGAACGUACCCAAUCGUGGGGGAUAACUAUCCGAAAGGAUAGCUAAUACCGCAUAAGUCCUGAGGGAGAAAGCGGGGGAUCGCAAGACCUCGCGCGGAUGGAGCGGCCGAUGUCGGAUUAGCUAGUUGGUGGGGUAAAGGCCCACCAAGGCGACGAUCCGUAGCUGGUCUGAGAGGACGACCAGCCACACUGGAACUGAGACACGGUCCAGACUCCUACGGGAGGCAGCAGUGGGGAAUUUUGGACAAUGGGGGCAACCCUGAUCCAGCCAUUCCGC
This 368-nucleotide ribosomal RNA is filed under the name uncultured bacterium. RNAcentral's name for it is "bacterial SSU rRNA". It matches the Rfam family "Bacterial small subunit ribosomal RNA", at positions 29 to 400 of the family's 1533-position model. The record is from RNAcentral.